This 256-nucleotide unclassified non-coding RNA is filed under the name Hevea brasiliensis (rubber tree). The record is from RNAcentral. Lineage: Eukaryota; Viridiplantae; Streptophyta; Magnoliopsida; Malpighiales; Euphorbiaceae.
GGGGCAAGCUCACCGAUGACGAUCUCAAUGUCAUCGAGGGCCGCCGCGAACAGCUCGAAGGCAAGCUCCAGCAGCGCUACGGCUUCGCCAAGGAUCAGAUCCACAAGGACGUGGACGACUGGUUCAAGACGUUAAAGUAAUCGCAUCAGAUUGAUGAAAAAGCCCCGGCACUGCGCCGGGGCUUUUUGUUUUACGACAAGAAUGUCGCUCAGGAUUAGAACACCGCGAGAUAUUUCAGAAUCGAAAUAAUACCGAU